RNAcentral lists this non-coding RNA (19 nucleotides) under Arabidopsis thaliana (thale cress). Lineage: Eukaryota; Viridiplantae; Streptophyta; Magnoliopsida; Brassicales; Brassicaceae. RNAcentral also lists the same sequence under 1 other name. The record is from RNAcentral.
AUAGCUCAGUGGUAGAGCA